Molecule: small RNA, 572 nt
Filed under: Pongo abelii (Sumatran orangutan)
Lineage: Eukaryota; Metazoa; Chordata; Mammalia; Primates; Hominidae
Description: processed transcript
Source: RNAcentral
CUGACAGGCAAGUUUCAAGAUAGUGGCUAAGCCCAGGUCCUGAAGAGAGGAGGACCGUGCUGGUGGCCCCAUCAGAGGACGGGGACAGCUCUCUCCUUCUGUAAGUGAGGCAGCCUCAUCCUUCCCUGGAUCCUCAGCAUCUCUUAACCAGCAGUGGCAGAGGUUGAAUUAGAAUGGCACCAGCUUCAGAUAAAAAUCCAGAUCUCGCUUUUCAAAACGUGUCUAGAGCUGGUGGCUGUAAGGAACCAAUCAAGCCUCAGCUGUGAUUCUAAUCCUGCCAAGUCCACCUGAGAGCCAACUCGUUCAUCCAAAGAGAGAACGGUUUGGAUGGAGCUCAAGGUGCCUGGCUCGCUGGCAUAGCCCAGACAACCUCUUAAAGGCCGGGCCAGAGCUAGAAGGUCUGUCACUACUCAGUUGGGGAAAUCAUCUGAGAAGUUCAAGUCCACUGCCUCGCAACUCAAAUGAGUCAGCCUCACCAACCAAGAAUCGCGUUCAUAAACAGACUCAGCCUGCGUGCCGUGGGGUUUCCCGGUCUGCAACUCUCUCACCUGGCCCUCCUGCAGGGCCCGGCG